RNAcentral lists this ribosomal RNA (425 nucleotides) under uncultured bacterium. Its description in RNAcentral is "partial 16S ribosomal RNA". It matches the Rfam family "Bacterial small subunit ribosomal RNA", at positions 354 to 796 of the family's 1533-position model. The record is from RNAcentral.
GUGGGGGAUAUUGCACAAUGGGGGAAACCCUGAUGCAGCGACGCCGCGUGAAGGAAGACGUACUUCGGUAUGUAAACUUCUAUCAGCAGGGAAGAAGAUGACGGUACCUGACUAAGAAGCCACGGCUAACUACGUGCCAGCAGCCGCGGUAAUACGUAGGGGGCAAGCGUUAUCCGGAUUUACUGGGUGUAAAGGGAGCGUAGACGGUGAAGCAAGUCUGAUGUGAAAACCCGGGGCUCAACUCCGGGAUUGCAUUGGAAACAGUUUUACUUGAGUGCUUGAGGGGCAAGCGGAAUUUCUGGUGUAGCGGUGAAAUGCGUAGAUAUCAGGAAUAACACCGGUGGCGAAGGCGGCUUGCUGGACAGUAACUGACGUUGAGGCUCGAAAGCGAGGGGAGCAAACAGGAUUAGAAACCCGUGUAGUCC